GCAGCUAGGACUACAGGCAUGCACCACCGUAACCAUGCCCAGAUCCAUUUUUCACCCUACCUGGCAAUCUCAAAAGAAGUCCAAAGUUGAUCAUAUGCACGUGCCCCAGAUGAAGGAAACAGAAACUGUUCACAUAGAGUGCAGUAUUAUCGUUGCCAUUUCAUAAUGGCUCUAAAAAACUUUGUUCUUCAUGACUUCGCAAGCUCUUGCAACCCCUUCCAAUAAACAUUAUUUUAAA
Molecule: long non-coding RNA, 238 nt
Organism: Homo sapiens (human)
Lineage: Eukaryota; Metazoa; Chordata; Mammalia; Primates; Hominidae
Exons: 2
Source: RefSeq, a predicted model, not a curated record